This 284-nucleotide ribosomal RNA is filed under the name uncultured cyanobacterium. RNAcentral's name for it is "partial 16S ribosomal RNA". It matches the Rfam family "Bacterial small subunit ribosomal RNA", at positions 1250 to 1533 of the family's 1533-position model. The record is from RNAcentral. Lineage: Bacteria; Bacillati; Cyanobacteriota.
AACACUCGCGAGAGCUAGCAAUCCCAUAAACCGUGGCUCAGUUCAGAUCGUAGGCUGCAACUCGCCUACGUGAAGUAGGAAUCGCUAGUAAUCGCGGGUCAGCAUACUGCGGUGAAUACGUUCCCGGGCCUUGUACACACCGCCCGUCACACCAUGGAAGUUGGCCAUGCCCGAAGUCGUUACUCCAACCCUUGUGGAGGAGGACGCCGAAGGUGGGGCUAAUGACUGGGGUGAAGUCGUAACAAGGUAGCCGUACCGGAAGGUGCGGCUGGAUCACCUCCUAA